RNAcentral lists this small nuclear RNA (141 nucleotides) under Octodon degus (degu). RNAcentral describes it as "U4 spliceosomal RNA (ENSODEG00000025169.1)". Lineage: Eukaryota; Metazoa; Chordata; Mammalia; Rodentia; Octodontidae. The record is from RNAcentral.
AGCUUUGCACGGUGGCAGCGUUGUGGCCAGUGAGGCUUAUCCGAGGCACCAUUGCUGCUAGCUGAAGCCUUUUCCCAGUGCAGUCAGGGGCUGAACCUAAAUUUCUCUUGUUUCAAUGACCAUAUUUCAGCAGUCUCACUG